AGCAGCCGCGGUAAUUCCAGCUCCAAUAACGUAUAUUAAAGUUGUUGCAGUUAAAAAGCUCGUAGUUGAAUUUCGGGAUCAAUUUGCUGGUCGUGCCUCUGGUACGUACUGGUAUUAUUGGUUUCUCCCUUCUGACGAACCAUGAUGUCAUUAAUUUGAUGUCGUGGAGAAUCAGGACUGUUACUUUGAAAAAAUUAGAGUGUUUAAAGCAGGCAUUAGCUUGAAUACAUUAGCAUGGAAUAAUGAAAUAGGACGUUUGAUCCUAUUUUGUUGGUUUCUAGGAUUGACGUAAUGAUUAAUAGGGAUAGUUGGGGGCAUUAGUAUUCAAUUGUCAGAGGUGAAAUUCUUGGAUUUAUUGAAGACUAACUACUGCGAAAGCAUUUGCCAAGGAUGUUUUCAUUAAUCAAGAACGAAAGUUAGGGGAUCGAAGACGAUCAGAUACCGUCGUAGUCUUAACCAUAAACUAUGCCGACUAGAGAUCGGAUGAUGUUAAUUUUUUAAUGACUCAUUCGGCGCCUUA
This 520-nucleotide unclassified non-coding RNA is filed under the name uncultured Glomus. Its description in RNAcentral is "SSU rRNA". It matches the Rfam family "Eukaryotic small subunit ribosomal RNA", at positions 569 to 1090 of the family's 1831-position model. Lineage: Eukaryota; Fungi; Glomeromycota; Glomeromycetes; Glomerales; Glomeraceae. The record is from RNAcentral.